RNAcentral lists this ribosomal RNA (253 nucleotides) under uncultured bacterium. RNAcentral describes it as "partial 16S ribosomal RNA". It matches the Rfam family "Bacterial small subunit ribosomal RNA", at positions 524 to 776 of the family's 1533-position model. The record is from RNAcentral.
UACGUAGGGACCAAGCGUUGUUCGGAUUUACUGGGCGUAAAGAGCGCGUAGGCGGCGCGGUAAGUCACUUGUGAAAUCUCUGAGCUUAACUCAGAACGGCCAAGUGAUACUGCAGUGCUAGAGUGUGGAAGGGGCAAUCGGAAUUCUUGGUGUAGCGGUGAAAUGCGUAGAUAUCAAGAGGAACACCUGAGGUGAAGACGGGUUGCUGGGCCAACACUGACGCUGAGGCGCGAAAGCCAGGGGAGCAAACGGG